This 2239-nucleotide long non-coding RNA is filed under the name Lotus japonicus. RNAcentral's name for it is "long non-coding RNA (LJAP_LNC001561)". Lineage: Eukaryota; Viridiplantae; Streptophyta; Magnoliopsida; Fabales; Fabaceae. The record is from RNAcentral.
CCGGCUUGCCAAUGAUGAUGGAGAUAGGCCUUGAGAGAGGUUUCCUCACAGCGCUUAAAGAUUUUGUCCUCAUGCAAUUGCAGCUGGCUGCUGUUUUCUUCACUUUCUCCCUCGGAACGAAAACACAUUAUUAUGGAAGAACAAUUUUGCAUGGGGGUGCCAAGUACAGACCAACUGGGCGCAAAGUCGUCUUUCAUGCUAGCUUUACUGAAAACUACAGAUUAUAUUCAAGAAGCCACUUUGUCAAGGCAUUUGAGCUAUUGUUGUUGCUGAUUGUUUAUAAUAUGUUCAGGAGGUCUUAUCAAAGUAACGUGACAUACGUUGUAAUAACUUACGCCAUUUGGUUCAUGUCCUUAACUUGGUUAUGUGCACCUUUCCUUUUUAACCCUGCCGGAUUCAGCUGGACCAAGGCGGUAGAUGACUGGAAAGAGUGGAAUAAAUGGAUCAGGCAACCAGGUGGAUUGGGAAUUCAUCAGGAUAAAAGUUGGCAUUCUUGGUGGUAUGAUGAGCAAGCUCAUCUUCGCCGGUCAAGUCUUGCUUCCAGGUUCACCGAGAUAUUGCUCUCUCUUCGUUUCUUCAUCUAUCAGUACGGUCUAGUCUAUCACCUAGACAUAUCUCACCAUAGCAAAAACUUCCUGGUCUAUGUCUUUUCUUGGAUUGUGAUUGUUGCAGUUUUCGUCUUGGUGAAGGUAUUUUUCACUAAUACCCUCUUUCCUUGCACUCUUAAAAAAUUUGCUCAACAAAGUAAAAGCAUGAUUUUGAUGCAGGCUGUGAACCUGGGAAGGCAACUGCUAAGUGCUAAUUAUCAGCUUGGAUUCAGAUUUUUCAAAGCAUUCCUGUUCAUUGGUGUUAUUGCCCUCAUAAUUACUCUUUCCUUUAUAUAUCAACUUUCAUCGAUGGACCUUUUUGUUUGCUGUCUGGCAUUCAUGCCAACUGCCUGGGGAUUGAUAAUGGUAAUAAUCUUUAGCAACCCUUUUUUUUAACAUAUCUUUAGCAACCUUGGAUGAGCUAAAUUGUCACCUUUUUUAAUUUGUUCCUUGCUUUUUCCCUGUGAGGCUGUGACUUAAUCCAUGUAGGAGGCCAUUUGAAUACGGACUUAUUGAAGCUUAUGUAUAAGAAAAAACACUGUAUAAGCUCUAACAAGUGCUCUUUGUCUUACAUCCAAGCGGGUUCUAAUUAAUAUAUUUUGGUGGUUCAGAUAGCACAAGCUGCAAGGCCAAAGAUAGAGCAUACAGGAUUGUGGGACUUCACCCGUGCACUUGCUAGAGAAUUUGACUACGGAAUGGGGAUAGUUCUUUUUGGACCUAUAGCUAUUUUGGCAUGGCUACCAAUCAUUAAAGCCUUCCAUGAUCGUAUCCUCUUCAACGAGGCAUUCAAAAGGCACUUGCAAAUCCAACCAAUUCUUGCAGGAAAAAGGAAGAAGCACAGAACUUGAUCAUGAUUUGUACUUGUUUUUGUACAGCCAUGCAAUGAAUCAUGUUUUAUUUUUCUAUAGAAACGAUAUUAGGAACUUAACAGAACUUAUAGCAUGUACAGCUAGCUGCAUUCGUGUGAGUAUACAUAGUCAUAAAUGUGCACAGGCUUGCCAAUGAUGAUGGAGAUAGGCCUUGAGAGAGGUUUCCUCACAGCGCUUAAAGAUUUUGUCCUCAUGCAAUUGCAGCUGGCUGCUGUUUUCUUCACUUUCUCCCUCGGAACGAAAACACAUUAUUAUGGAAGAACAAUUUUGCAUGGGGGUGCCAAGUACAGACCAACUGGGCGCAAAGUCGUCUUUCAUGCUAGCUUUACUGAAAACUACAGAUUAUAUUCAAGAAGCCACUUUGUCAAGGCAUUUGAGCUAUUGUUGUUGCUGAUUGUUUAUAAUAUGUUCAGGAGGUCUUAUCAAAGUAACGUGACAUACGUUGUAAUAACUUACGCCAUUUGGUUCAUGUCCUUAACUUGGUUAUGUGCACCUUUCCUUUUUAACCCUGCCGGAUUCAGCUGGACCAAGGCGGUAGAUGACUGGAAAGAGUGGAAUAAAUGGAUCAGGCAACCAGGUGGAUUGGGAAUUCAUCAGGAUAAAAGUUGGCAUUCUUGGUGGUAUGAUGAGCAAGCUCAUCUUCGCCGGUCAAGUCUUGCUUCCAGGUUCACCGAGAUAUUGCUCUCUCUUCGUUUCUUCAUCUAUCAGUACGGUCUAGUCUAUCACCUAGACAUAUCUCACCAUAGCAAAAACUUCCUGGUCUAUGUCUUUUCUUGGAUUGUG